RNAcentral lists this ribosomal RNA (253 nucleotides) under uncultured bacterium. RNAcentral's name for it is "partial 16S ribosomal RNA". It matches the Rfam family "Bacterial small subunit ribosomal RNA", at positions 524 to 776 of the family's 1533-position model. The record is from RNAcentral.
UACGUAGGGUGCGAGCGUUAAUCGGAAUUACUGGGCGUAACGCGUGCGUAGGCGGUUUGCCGUGUCCUGUGUGAAAGCCCCGGGCUCAACCUGGGAAUUGCAUGGGAAACUGGCAGGCUUGAGUGUGGCAGAGGAGGGUGGAAUUCCGCGUGUAGCAGUGAAAUGCGUAGAGAUGCGGAGGAACACCGAUGGCGAAGGCAGCCCUCUGGGCCAACACUGACGCUCAGGCACGAAAGCGUGGGGAGCAAACAGG